Molecule: ribosomal RNA, 872 nt
Filed under: Ehrlichia canis
Lineage: Bacteria; Pseudomonadati; Pseudomonadota; Alphaproteobacteria; Rickettsiales; Anaplasmataceae
Description: bacterial SSU rRNA
Rfam family: Bacterial small subunit ribosomal RNA (bases 469-872)
Source: RNAcentral
CUUCCAUUCAUUUCAUUGUAAAAAUAUUAAUAAAAUGGAAAAUUAAAGAAUAUAAUUAGUAAGUUCAAUUUAACAUGUUAAAUGUUACAUCAAGUUAUUAAUUUUAAUAUGCUAUAAUAUUGAAAAUUUAAAUUUAAAAAAAAAUAAUUAAAAUAUUAAAAAUAAAAUUUUAAUAUUUAUUUAAUUUAAAUUAUUAAAUUUAAAGUUAAAUUAAUUAUAAUAUAAAAAAGUAUAUUAAUAAAUUAUCAUAAAUUUAUAAGUUAGAAAAUUAAUUACUUAAAUUUUAUUAAUGUAAACUUCUAUUUUAUUUCAUUUUAAUCCUUAUAAUACUUUCGAAUUAAAAUCAUUUAUAGUUAGUAAAAUUAGUCGUGGAUAUUAUCAAUAUAGUAAAUUGGGAGAAUCUCACGGGGGGUUAUGCGGUCAUAAACAAUAUGAAAUCCUCGGGUUAACAAAUUCCCAUCUUUUAGACAAUCCGUAAAUUUGGUUAUCUUUUGCUUUAUCACAGUGUUCCCUUUAAUUAUUUUAAGCCUCUGGCUAUAGGAAAUUGUUAGUGGCAGACGGGUGAGUAAUGCGUAGGAAUCUACCUAGUAGUACGGAAUAGCCAUUAGAAAUGGUGGGUAAUACUGUAUAAUCCCCGAGGGGGAAAGAUUUAUCGCUAUUAGAUGAGCCUACGUUAGAUUAGCUAGUUGGUGAGGUAAUGGCUUACCAAGGCUAUGAUCUAUAGCUGGUCUGAGAGGACGAUCAGCCACACUGGAACUGAGAUACGGUCCAGACUCCUACGGGAGGCAGCAGUGGGGAAUAUUGGACAAUGGGCGAAAGCCUGAUCCAGCUAUGCCGCGUGAGUGAAGAAGGCUUCGGGUGUAACUUACCGC